This 1152-nucleotide ribosomal RNA is filed under the name uncultured bacterium. RNAcentral describes it as "bacterial SSU rRNA". It matches the Rfam family "Bacterial small subunit ribosomal RNA", at positions 9 to 1153 of the family's 1533-position model. The record is from RNAcentral.
GAGUUUGAUCCUGGCUCAGAACGAACGCUGGCGGCGCGUUUUAAGCAUGCAAGUCGAACGGUAGUAGAGUGCUUGCACUCUAUGAGAGUGGCGAACGGGUGAGUAACACGUAGGUGAUCUAUCUUGAGGGCUGGGAUAGCCUGUGGAAACACAGGGUAAUACCGGAUACGACCUUAUGGCCAAAGCCAUAAGGGGAAAGUCGCUUAGGCGACGCCUUAAGCUGAGCCUGCGGCUCAUUAGCUAGUUGGUGGGGUAAUGGCCUACCAAGGCGACGAUGAGUAGCCGGCCUGAGAGGGUGAUCGGCCACACUGGGACUGAGACACGGCCCGGACUCCUACGGGAGGCAGCAGCUAAGAAUCUUCCGCAAUGGGGGAAACCCUGACGGAGCGACGCCGCGUGAACGAAGAAGGCCGGAAGGUUGUAAAGUUCUUUUCCUGGGGGAGAAUAAUACCUGGAGGUAAUGCCAGGUAGAUGACGUGAACCAGGGAAUAAGCCCCAGCUAAUUACGUGCCAGCAGCCGCGGUAAUACGUAAGGGGCAAGCGUUGUUCGGAUUUAUUGGGCGUAAAGGGCGUGUAGGCGGUGAGAUAAGUCUGGUGUGAAAGACCCCGGCUCAACCGGGGGGGCCGCGCUGGAAACUGUCUUACUAGAGUGAUGGAGGGGGAACUGGAAUUCCUGGUGUAGGGGUGAAAUCUGUAGAGAUCAGGAAGAACACCGGAGGCGAAGGAGUUUCUGGCCAUCUACUGACGCUGAGGCGCGAAAGCGUGGGGAGCGAACAGGAUUAGAUACCCUGGUAGUCCACGCUGUAAACGAUGUGCACUAGGUGUUGGUCCGUUGAGGAUCAGUGCCGUAGCUAACGCGUUAAGUGCACCGCCUGGGGAGUAUGCUCGCAAGGGUGAAACUCAAAGGAAUUGACGGGGGCCCGCACAAGCGGUGGAGCAUGUGGUUUAAUUCGAUGAUACGCGAGAAACCUUACCAGGGCUUGACAUAGGCACGACGGUUGUAGAGAUACAGCUUCUCUUCGGAGCGUGUUUACAGGUGCUGCAUGGCUGUCGUCAGCUCGUGCUGUGAAGUGUUGGGUUAAGUCCCGCAACGAGCGCAACCCUUGCUGUCUGUUGCCAACAGGUAAUGCUGGGGACUCAGACGGUACUGCC